CCGCCUCCUGGGUUCAAGCGAUUCUCGUGCCUCAGCCUUACGAGUAGCUGGGAUUACAGGCACGCCCCACCACGCCCGGCUAAUUUUUUGUAUUUUUAGUAGAGACGGGGUUUCACCAUGUUGGCCAGGAUAGUCUCGAUCUCCUGACCUGGUGAUCCAUCCGCCUCUGCCUCCCAAAGUGCUGGGAUUACAGGCGUGAACCACCGCACCCGGCCCCAAAUGCCUUUUAUAAGCAAGUGGUGCAUUCCUGGAUGUUGAGCGCUUGCGCCCGGUUCAGGACCGGGUCCAAAUGAGGUUGGCGUGCGCCGUGCGGGUCACCUCCCCCAAAAAGACCCUGUGCCAACCUCCCCAACCCUACCCGCCCCCCAUGGGCGAGGCCAGACGUGGCGCAAGACCACGGGCUCUGAGGCCAUGGGUGUUGUCACUUUCCCCUGGCGGUGGUGCCUGGCUCUGCAUUUGCUUAAGACUUUUCCAUCCCUGCCUGGACCAGACAGACAUGUUUAGAUUUAAGCAAUGAACAUUCCGGGAGGAUAUUUUCCUGGCAGGAUACCGCGAUGGCAGGAUGUUUGAUACCGAAUCGAAGCACGGCGUCAAAGCAGCGUCCUGCGCGGGGGAGCCGGAUGUAAUAAGCGACCCCAGCUGCCGGUGCCCAAUGACUGGAACAUCCAAGCCCUCGGCCUCCUACCAGCAUGGAUUGGAAGUCAAUACCUUAAACAUUUGCAGCUGUGAAACUACUCUUACAGACCCAUAUAGUUCUCCACCUUAAUGAACUUAAAACAUAGGUUUAAUAAAGUGAAACCAGUCUCCAGUAGAGAGAGUGAAUGAUUGUGUUAGCACAAGGCAACAACACUGGUUAGUGCCAGAGAUCAAAUCAAGGCACAAGAUGAACAUUUCAUGACAUUUUCCAAGUGUAAUUCUCUAAGAAGGCAUUUUGUGAUGGAUAAUGUCAAACGUCAGUCAAUUCAUGUCUCAGUCCUUCUGAUUCCCCUGGCACAAACUUGAAGUAGAAACAGGCUGUCUUUUCCUGCUACAUUAGCACCCCCAGGCCCAGAAUGAAUGGAAUUUGUCCGUCUCUCCCAGGACAGGGAUCUGUUAAGGGAGAGGCAAAGAAGGUAAAACAGGAUCCUCGCUACUAAGAUUUUAUAAUGGAGAAAAUUCAGAGCAAUCGUGUCCAGAACCCAUUUCUCUAAUUAUAGUGUUACAACAGAGAAAGACAAAUGUUAAUGAUAAAUGAAGGCAGUGCACAUCAAAUAUGUG
Molecule: long non-coding RNA, 1257 nt
Filed under: Pan troglodytes (chimpanzee)
Lineage: Eukaryota; Metazoa; Chordata; Mammalia; Primates; Hominidae
Description: long non-coding RNA NONPTRT000710
Source: RNAcentral